RNAcentral lists this long non-coding RNA (925 nucleotides) under Rattus norvegicus (Norway rat). RNAcentral's name for it is "long non-coding RNA NONRATT030648". Lineage: Eukaryota; Metazoa; Chordata; Mammalia; Rodentia; Muridae. The record is from RNAcentral.
AAGGUCACAAAUCCAAAACCAUGCUAUUGGCAGGAGAGUACUCCUGUGCAAGCUCUAGGAGAAAAUCCAUUCUUUCCAUCUUUUCCUGUGAUUGUCAUUAUUCCUUGGAUUGUGGCUUCAUCUUACUACUCUCUCUUGUUUGACAUCUUCCCCUCUGUAUAUAUAAUCUACCUCUGCUUUUCUCUUGUAAGAUAGUUUUGAUGACCCGUUCAGAUUAUCUGUUAUAACAUUUGGAUUUUCAGAGCCUACAUUUAAUUACAACUUCACAUACCUGUCUAACAGAAUAAGGUAAUAUCACAGAAUCUUGGAAUUAGCACAUAAAUGAACAUGUCUUUGGGGGGGCAUAAUUCAGCCACUACAAUAGUCAUUGCAUAUAAAUGUACUUUAUACUUUUUAAAAUGCAUCCUUGGUGCUCAAGCCAAAUUUAAGGUUGUUAUUAAAAGCUACUGUCUACACAGGCUACUGCAUGCUUUGUUACUAAAUAGACAAAAAGACUAUUCUAAAUUUUGGUUAAUACUUUCGCCACUGUAACCAAUGAGCUGAAAAAAAUCACUGAUCACAACUCUACUCUGGUGUAUCUCUUCUGCCCCCUUUUUUUAUGAAGCCUUUGUUGAAAUAUCUUCUAUCAUGCAUAAUGUAGGCACAAAACUACCUCUGAUACAGAAGGGUUCUUUACAAACUUCCUUUAGAUAUUUUGAAUCCCUCAGCUGAAGGGAGAGGUAAAAGCAAAGACUGUGUUGAAUGGGUAUUGAGGGAGAUUGUGUCCAUAGCAAGCCACCUUAAAGAAAUAGUUCAAGUAGCAGUAAAACUGUCAAUUUGUGCUAUCAUUUCACCUUGGAAUAAACACCUGUAUUUGCGCCGGACCAAUAAUGACUUGCAGUCUCUGUAUAAUGCCUACUAAUCCAAUAAAGCUUAGAUCUGCAUU